GAUGAACGCUGGCGGCGUGCCUAAUACAUGCAAGUCGAGCGAACAGACGAGGAGCUUGCUCCUCUGACGUUAGCGGCGGACGGGUGAGUAACACGUGGAUAACCUACCUAUAAGACUGGGAUAACUUCGGGAAACCGGAGCUAAUACCGGAUAAUAUAUUGAACCGCAUGGUUCAAUAGUGAAAGACGGUUUUGCUGUCACUUAUAGAUGGAUCCGCGCCGCAUUAGCUAGUUGGUAAGGUAACGGCUUACCAAGGCAACGAUGCGUAGCCGACCUGAGAGGGUGAUCGGCCACGCUGGAACUGAGACACGUUCCAGACUCCUACGGGAGGCAGCAGUAGGGAAUCUUCCGCAAUGGGCGAAAGCCUGACGGAGCAACGCCGCGUGAGUGAUGAAGUUCUUCGGAUCGUAAAACUCUGUUAUUAGGGAAGAACAAAUGUGUAAGUAACUAUGCACGUCUUGACGGUACCUAAUCAGAAAGCCACGGCUAACUACGUG
Molecule: ribosomal RNA, 497 nt
Filed under: uncultured bacterium
Lineage: Bacteria
Description: partial 16S ribosomal RNA
Rfam family: Bacterial small subunit ribosomal RNA
Source: RNAcentral